CCUGUAUGUGCCAUUGAUGAAACGGGCAAAGGAGUGUUGGAAUCCCUGCAGUUGGUGCAAGCUGAGUUGGCUGAGGAAAGGAAUCGGUUGGCAUCUGUGAAAGAGAAGUAUGACUCGUUGAAAGUUAGCUAUCAGAAAGCGCUGGAAAGACAGAAGAUGAGUGAGAAAAAACUGCAGGACUUGAAGGGAAGUCUGAAUUUGGCGAGAGAAAAGGAAAACGAUAUCAAUCAUUCAAAUUUGGCAUUGGACUUGAACGGCUAUCAACCACGCUCGCUCAUGGAGAUGGAGGGGUUGACUUCUCGCAGAGGCACCGGCUCAGUAGAAGAUCUGACACGCUGUGUUCAAGAAGAGUGAAUAGGUCGAAGCAGUUGGAUGAUACGUUGAUCACCAGCCUUACGCCAACCAAACAUUGCGCGCCACAAGCAUCAUCAGAAUCCCAUGCUAUGCUGAUGGAGUCCGUAUUGAAUUAUCAGGUCCAGAUUCAAAAUCUGGAAACGCUCCUGAAUGAGGAACGGAAGAAGGUUAAAGAUCUGCAACUUAAGCUGGAUAUUGUCGAACAGGUAUCGACGAAUAUAACAACGUAUCAGGAUGAUCGAUUAGUCAAUAUGACCGUUGAAUUGUCCACGUUUAAAGAAAAAGUUCCGUUCUUAGAACUAGAGUUGCUGGAGAGUCAAACGCAAGUCAAACAGUUACAAACCGAUUUGUUGGCAAGGAAGAGGUUGUGUUUUCAACUACAGCAAGAGACAGCGCUUUUGGUAGAGAGUCAUCAGAAGGAGCUGAAUAAAAUUCUAGAUGCCAAAGUUCAUUUUGAGCUUUUAUAUCAGAAAGAGAAAGCAAAGUGCGAGGAGCUACAAGCUCAAAUCAAGUCUUCAAAACCAGUACAACACGACUCAAUGAAUGAACAACAUCUCAGGGAAAAACUGAACGAAGAACAAGAGAGAUGUAUCAAGCUGGAAGUGGAGCUGGACCAGCAUAAACGGUAUCUAACAGUUCUGAAAAGCAUCAUGGAAAAGGAGGCAUCAAAAUCAAAUACAUUGGAAAAAGAUUUGGAUACUCUAAACAGCGUAAAACAAGCCCUGGAGCGGCAGGUUGUGGAGCUCGACUGCCUGAACAGAACCGAGAAGAAAAAGAAUCAAAGUCUAGAAGCUAAAAUCAAAGCUGUCGAAGAGGCAGAUAUCAGACGACAAAAGCGAAGACUUCAAGUCGAACAAACUCAUAAAUUAGCCCUCCAGCGAGCAUCAAAUGUUCAGAAAGAAUUGGUGGAGGAAUGUGACCGACUAAGAAAGGAGUUAAUUUUGUCCAACGAACUGAAUCAAACUGCUCUGAGCCGAAAAAUGCAUCUCUCGUCAGGUGGAGCAAAAGGAGACAAGAACUCUACAGAGCCAGUGCUCAACGUUGUGUCUUUCGAGCACGCUAAACAACUCAUCGAGAAGCUUAGCGAAGAGCAAGCUGAUUUCAAACUUUCAAUUGGAAGGCUUCAGGACUCAGUAACGCGGGCCCUCGAGGAGCCGCAGUCGGCCUCCAAACUCAUCCUCGACGCAUCAUCCUUAAAGUUACUGAUCAGCCGGUUGGACCGCGCCGAGCGCUACCGGCGCGCCCUGAUCUGGCAGAAACGCUUCUUGCAGAUAGCCUACAGCACCCAUCUGGAGAAUCAAGCGGAACAACUAGACUUGGUCCAGAGCUGCAGCUACUACGAAACGUACAAAAAAGGAAAGCCAAAGAGGCGCAACCGAUUCAAGGCAGUUGCAAUCAUGUGCGUGUUCAUCCGGAGGAUCAGGAACAUGCAUGCGCGGCACUCAAGCCCGUUUAGACUUUCGUCAUUGUAUAGCGUCCCAGCGCCAUUGUAG
RNAcentral lists this long non-coding RNA (1847 nucleotides) under Bemisia tabaci. Its description in RNAcentral is "lncRNA ENSSSA2NGG004152". Lineage: Eukaryota; Metazoa; Arthropoda; Insecta; Hemiptera; Aleyrodidae. The record is from RNAcentral.